ACCCUGGGAUGUUCGCCAGUCGACAACGUCCUUAGCCGAUAUCUGUACCCAGGGAUUCUCCUUCACGGCCGUUGAGCAAGUCCGCACGACGGAAAGCCUGAAGCCCAGCGGAGGAUCCCACCUUGAACUUUCGGUUCAAGGCAACCUCGACAGCGGCAUCUCCGGGG
RNAcentral lists this non-coding RNA (167 nucleotides) under marine eukaryotic metagenome. RNAcentral's name for it is "6S / SsrS RNA". It matches the Rfam family "6S / SsrS RNA". From Rfam's summary of the family: E. coli 6S RNA was the first non coding RNA to be sequenced, but its function was unknown until recently. It consists of 184 nucleotides that fold into an extended hairpin structure with a large single-stranded internal bulge. The record is from RNAcentral.